AGAGGAAGUUUUUUUUUUUUUUUUAAUAACCUGUGGAUAUUCUUUUGUGUCUUUUCUAUUCCAGGGAGCAAGAACUGUUCUAUCACCAGAUCAGUGUUUUUAUAUGGAAACAGGCCCCGAUGUUGAGUCUUGUCAGUCUCCAGCAGUCUUCUUGGGAUUCUGAACCUGCUUUUCCUCUAGACACUGAAACAGGACAUUUUUGAGGUACAGUAUGAACUUAGAGGAUGUUUUUAGCUUGGUUAAUGUUGACCUGUGAACAGAAAUAAUUGAGUCACUUCAAUAAGGCCUAGAGUAGAAAUAGUGUAUUCUGGAGGAAGGAAAAUGCAACCUGUGCCCUUGCAGGUUAAU
Molecule: long non-coding RNA, 348 nt
Filed under: Camelus dromedarius (Arabian camel)
Lineage: Eukaryota; Metazoa; Chordata; Mammalia; Artiodactyla; Camelidae
Description: lncRNA (ENSCDRG00005008903.1)
Source: RNAcentral